Molecule: long non-coding RNA, 376 nt
Organism: Oncorhynchus tshawytscha (Chinook salmon)
Lineage: Eukaryota; Metazoa; Chordata; Actinopteri; Salmoniformes; Salmonidae
Source: Ensembl
GUUUCAUCUGGGUAACCUACUUCUUGAUGGGGAGGCGAGGAGAGAGCUCGGUUUGAUAGGAUGUCGGCGUAACUUGGCUAGAACGGCGCUUGAAAAGUAGCAACUGUUCUUGUGGAUGAGUGUGGCCUCUGAGGAAAGAGACAAAUGGGCUGUCGAGAGGAAGAGUUUGUCAUUUUAGUCUCCUCCAUACACAGGGUCUAUCUUUCAAGGCCUAUGAAUAACAGCACUACAAGAGAUCACUCCGCAGCAGUACAGGAAAAAGGUCCAAUUCACACACUUUUCAAGAGAACGUCCCUGGUCAUCCCUACUGCCUCUGAUCUGGUGGACUCACUAAACAUAAACGCUUCCUUUGUAAAUUAUGUCUGUGUUGGAGUUG